This 240-nucleotide unclassified non-coding RNA is filed under the name soil metagenome. RNAcentral describes it as "partial contains 5.8S ribosomal RNA, internal transcribed spacer 2, and large subunit ribosomal RNA". The record is from RNAcentral.
AACUGAUACUACCUGCGGGAACCUGCGGAGGGAUCAUUGCUGGAACGCGCCCCAGGCGCACCCAGAAACCCUUUGUGAACUUAUACCUUACUGUUGCCUCGGCGCAUGCCGGCCCCCAGGGGCCCCUCGGAGACGAGGAGCAGGCACGCCGGCGGCCAACCUAACUCUUGUUUUUACACUGAAACUCUGAGAAAAAAAACAAAAUGAAUCAAAACUUUUAGCAACGGAUCUCUAGAUCGG